RNAcentral lists this small RNA (28 nucleotides) under Bombyx mori (domestic silkworm). RNAcentral's name for it is "ovarian small RNA-18179". Lineage: Eukaryota; Metazoa; Arthropoda; Insecta; Lepidoptera; Bombycidae. The record is from RNAcentral.
UAAACGGAUGCGAUGACAACCGGCUGGC